This is a non-coding RNA of Phrynosoma platyrhinos (Desert horned lizard), 72 nucleotides long. The record is from the annotation of a GenBank genome assembly. NCBI's taxonomy places the organism in Eukaryota, Metazoa, Chordata, Lepidosauria, Squamata, Phrynosomatidae.
GCCAGUGUGCUGUAGAGGUUUGAGUGUUGGACUACGACUCUGGAGACCAGGGUUCGGAUCCCUGCUCGGCCG